GACGAACGCUGGCGGCGUGCCUAAUACAUGCAAGUAGAACGCUGAAGGAGGAGCUUGCUUCUCUGGAUGAGUUGCGAACGGGUGAGUAACGCGUAGGUAACCUGCCUGGUAGCGGGGGAUAACUAUUGGAAACGAUAGCUAAUACCGCAUAAUAGUAGAUGUUGCAUGACAUUUGCUUAAAAGGUGCAAUUGCAUCACUACCAGAUGGACCUGCGUUGUAUUAGCUAGUUGGUGGGGUAACGGCUCACCAAGGCGACGAUACAUAGCCGACCGGAGAGGGGGAUCGGCCACACUGGGACUGAGACACGGCCCAGACUCCUACGGGAGGCAGCAGUAGGGAAUCUUCGGCAAUGGACGGAAGUCUGACCGAGCAACGCCGCGUGAGUGAAGAAGGUUUUCGGAUCGUAAAGCUCUGUUGUAAGAGAAGAACGAGUGUGAGAGUGGAAAGUUCACACUGUGACGGUAUCUUACCAGAAAGGGACGGCUAACUACGUG
RNAcentral lists this ribosomal RNA (495 nucleotides) under uncultured bacterium. RNAcentral describes it as "partial 16S ribosomal RNA". It matches the Rfam family "Bacterial small subunit ribosomal RNA", at positions 28 to 507 of the family's 1533-position model. The record is from RNAcentral.